CUUUCUUCCAAAGAAUCAAACUCAGAAAGAUUUUAGAACUUUUUUCUAAAUGUGGCUCUUCUAGAGUGUGUUCCAUUCCUUCUUUUCUUAGGGUUACUGCAUCAUCAUUUUCCUACUUCUGUCAUAAGGGUCGAGCUUAUUCAACAAGAAACAUUGGUUUUUAGAUAAAUUUAUACUAGAUAUUGGAUUCGAAGUGAUCUUCACAUAGCACCACCUCAUAAACCCAAACACUACGAAAUUCCAGUAUAAAAAUACAAAUGAGUAAAAGUGAUCCUCAUUCUUCUCCCCCUGUACCCCCAACUCAAACGGAAGGUGUAUCAAAUCCAACGGAAGACACUUCUAAGAAGAAAAUUGAUAAUAGUUCAACCUCACCAUCAAUACAAGCAGAUAAGAGUCCAUCAACUUCAAAAGUGGCAAAAGACUCGAAGCCACUCAAUUCUUCAUCAACAACUCAAGAAGAUCCAAGCACUUCCAAUCCUAAAGUGAAUACGAAAGUUGUCAAUAACUCAAAUAUUAGUUUAAUUACGAAAAAUUUAAAUUUUUUUAAAAGGAAAAAAAAUGAUAAUACUUCGACAUUGUCAUCAUCACAAGCAAAUAAGAAUCUAUCAACUUCAAAAGUGACAAAAGUAAGUUACUGAUAGCUCAAAUAUCAAUUAAUUACUAACCGUUUUCAACAUAAGAAAAGUGACAAAAGUAUACAAUAUAUCAUAAGAAAUUAAUAGAAUAAAAAUACUAACGAAUUUUACAUGGAUUGUUCAGGACUCAGAAUCUUCUUCAAAUCAAUUAAAGAUGGGGUUAUAUGCAAUGAUAUUAUGCUUUACGAUGAACUUUAAGAGAAAUAUUAGCUCAUGUUACAAUUGCACCACAACAGUGUUGCUUAUGAUUAAAAGAAAUAAAAAGGUGUUUUAACACCAUUAUGUGUAUUUUUUUAUCUUUUUGUUUCAAGUUACAGAGUAAGAGUAGAGUGUGACAUGUUGAUAUUUGAAUUUCUUUCAAUAAAAAGUUAUGGUAGAAAUUGGCAUGGAA
This is a long non-coding RNA of Vigna angularis (adzuki bean), 1026 nucleotides long. RefSeq lists it as uncharacterized. The record is from RefSeq and is a predicted model, not a curated record. Lineage: Eukaryota; Viridiplantae; Streptophyta; Magnoliopsida; Fabales; Fabaceae. The transcript is spliced from 6 exons.